CUUUAUUUGGUCUGUACUUUCUGCUUCCAAUCUGGGAAUUUUUCCAAGAAAACACUGACUGAAAUACAGUCAGAAUUUAUAUAUGCAUUUACAUUAGGCUCCAACAAUAAGAUUCAGCCUUUUUCAAAACUGUCACUUGCAUAGCCAAUAAACUAGUGUCUCAAAAAUCCAUUUAAUUUUCCAUACUUCCCAAAACCAUUUCAAUGCGAUGAUCUCUUUUGGCAUAUCUUCCCAAGAGAUUGCUAGUUUUGCUGUGAUGGUCCAUUUCCAGAAUCUGGCAGCAAUGCGAGAACCAUUAGGAGGCUUUGAAAUGUAGACCUUCUAAGUAGGGCAAAGGCAAGGAAGACGACUGCAGAGGGAAUGCCAGAAGCAUUACCGAGUGGAUGAGAGAAUGCAGGGAAGGAAAAUUUCCACUUCACAAAGACAUUUUAAAGAGACGGUGUUUGGGGAUGAUGAUGCCACAGAAAGACUCACAACUCAAAAUCUCACAACAGGAUUCAGUAGUUUAACAAAUUCAACUCCAAAUUGUCCCCCAGACAAUCACUGCAGACUCCUCCCGGUGGCAAUUGCCUGUAUCUGAGGAUUUUACAUCUGUCUUUCGUCACUGUCGGUACUGCCACAAAAACACUCUCAUAAAAAGGGAGGCAGAACUGCAUCAGGCUCUAAAACAACACUCAGCUCACCCCUCGCGCAACAACCCG
This 701-nucleotide long non-coding RNA is filed under the name Homo sapiens (human). Its description in RNAcentral is "HSALNT0180336". The record is from RNAcentral. Lineage: Eukaryota; Metazoa; Chordata; Mammalia; Primates; Hominidae.